CAUUUUUGCUUUCCCACUUUGUUUUAUUUUUGUUUUUCUGAAAAUUGCUCCUCUAAUCCUAUUCUCGCUACACGGCAGGUGAUUCCUUGUGAUUAGUUUUCUUUUCCCUCCUCAAAUCCUUUGUUUCCUCUCUUAGACUUGUCCCUUUCUCUCCCGCUAGCACGGUGUUUCUAGCCUUCAGUGUGUGAAUCUGAAGAUUUGGGUGUUUCCGCCUCUUCCGCUUCCUUAGUUCUGCAAUUGGUUUUUUUUUCCUCUUCAAACGCGGCUCUUCCUCUUCUCCUUGCAUACGGGUGACGAGACUGAUAGAGGUCAUUUUCAAGGCAUAGAUAAUAAGCUGCAAGAGUCAGUGGCCUUUUAUGUGUUCUUUCAUGUGUGCACACUCAGGCUCCGAGAUUGCAAAAGGGAAAGUUUCACAAUAUGAUACUGCCUGGUUUGGCCACCGGGGAUAGCACAACCCUACCACGGGGGUUAAACAUGAUGAUAUUGAUGACCCAACUGGGGGUCAGGAAUAGAAAUUGGAGCUUGACUAGACAUGGAUAGAAGGUCGAGUAUUUAAGGGUAUCAUUGUUAGAAGAAGGGUUGGAAGUUCUUUUUUAUAUUUAGAUUUAUUGGGACUUAAGAUGUAUUAUUUUAUUACGUUAAGAGUUAAUUUUGUUUUGGUUUUGUUGGACUUAUGGUUGUAUCAGUUUGGUAUAUUAUCACUACCGAAAGAUUGUGGACCCUUUGAUUUAUUAUUAUUGCAGUAAAGACUAUGUGGAGUUUGUAAUGUGUUUA
Molecule: long non-coding RNA, 774 nt
Organism: Juglans regia (Persian walnut)
Lineage: Eukaryota; Viridiplantae; Streptophyta; Magnoliopsida; Fagales; Juglandaceae
Exons: 4
Source: RefSeq, a predicted model, not a curated record